Molecule: ribosomal RNA, 254 nt
Filed under: uncultured bacterium
Lineage: Bacteria
Description: partial 16S ribosomal RNA
Rfam family: Bacterial small subunit ribosomal RNA
Source: RNAcentral
UACGUAGGGUGCGAGCGUUGUCCGGAAUUAUUGGGCGUAAAGAGCUUGUAGGCGGUUUGUCGCGUCUGCUGUGAAAAUCCGGGGCUCAACCCCGGACUUGCAGUGGGUACGGGCAGACUAGAGUGUGGUAGGGGAGACUGGAAUUCCUGGUGUAGCGGUGGAAUGCGCAGAUAUCAGGAGGAACACCGAUGGCGAAGGCAGGUCUCUGGGCCACUACUGACGCUGGAGGAGCGAAAGCGUGGGGAGCGAACAGG